UUGAUUCAUUUGUUUUUGUUACUCAGAAGGAGAUUCCACUGAAGAGCGAAGGCAAGAGUUUGGGUCCCCCGGCGGGCGCCUGGGUCCGGGCCUCCGCCCCCUGGGGGGUUCGGGCGCCGGGGCGGUCCGCCGAAGCAACGUAGGUAUGUUCACAGGGGUUUGGGAGUCGGUAUAACUCUGUAAUGAUCCCUCCGCUGGUUCACCAACGGAGA
Molecule: unclassified non-coding RNA, 212 nt
Filed under: uncultured fungus
Lineage: Eukaryota; Fungi
Description: sequence contains ITS1
Source: RNAcentral